AGAUUUGUUUAGUAGCCAGGUAUGACUUGUCUACAUUUCUCCCUAAUAUAUAAGAUUAAACACAUAAAUUAAUCAGAAGAAAAAAAAAUCAGCAAGUGCAUAUUUACAUGGGUUCUCCAGGCAAUCAUCUUGGCUAACUUCAUGGGCUCU
RNAcentral lists this microRNA precursor (150 nucleotides) under Olea europaea subsp. europaea. The record is from RNAcentral. Lineage: Eukaryota; Viridiplantae; Streptophyta; Magnoliopsida; Lamiales; Oleaceae.